AGUCAGCUCCGCACAAUUGGAUUCGAUGAAGCAUUGUACGGAGC
Molecule: non-coding RNA, 44 nt
Filed under: uncultured Extibacter sp.
Lineage: Bacteria; Bacillati; Bacillota; Clostridia; Lachnospirales; Lachnospiraceae
Description: uup RNA
Rfam family: uup RNA
Source: RNAcentral